Molecule: long non-coding RNA, 2505 nt
Organism: Myotis daubentonii (Daubenton's bat)
Lineage: Eukaryota; Metazoa; Chordata; Mammalia; Chiroptera; Vespertilionidae
Exons: 10
Source: RefSeq, a predicted model, not a curated record
CGGCCGGGGUCGCGGCUGGGAGGCCGUGUUCUGAGAACGCCGCAGCUGUAGUGGGUGCAGUGACUCCUGCUAGAGGCUGAUCAGAUCCACCGUGAGUUCAGUGACUGGAAAAGGCCCAGUGCCCCUGCCUCUGGGGUUCAAUGUCUCUCAUCACAUUUGGACUUUCCCAUUGAGAGGGUGCAGUUCCCAAGGUCUGGUUUUCAUAGAAGAGUCUUCAUGCAGCUCUUCAAAUAUGCUGUUUCCAGUCAUCAAUAUAGUUCGCUGUGCAUUGGUGAAAGAUACAAUUCCUCAUGAACUGAUGCCUAAGGCCCCACAGCUACCUGCUACGGCCCAGUCCUAACAGAAGCUCACGCUGAUAUUAGUGAGGAGAAGACACCAGUCCUCAUUAACUGUCUGGUGGCUAACACCCUGCGGCACACCUGCUGCUGACAAGUCCAAACACAGGCUGCAUCUCAUCCUGAGUGAACCAAAGCCAUCUUCCUCAAUAACUUUCUGAUGGCUGACGCCCUAAGCACACCUGCUACUGCUCAGUCUUAACAGAGGCUUUCCAUGAUCCUUAAUGAACAGGGGCAAGUAAACAAAACUAUGCUGGCAUUAUUCGAAAACAGAGGAAUGUCUCUUACUUUCAAAAACAAGAGGAAGACUGACAAAGAUUCUUUUAAAAUUAUCCCAUUAUUAAAUAUUGGGGGAUCAUGUGGUUAAUGACAUUAUACUAACUUGUACAACUACACAAUACAACAUAGCACACUCCAGUUUGUGCUCAACACCCACAGGAUAGCAUCCUUGGGUUUGAACUCCUUUGCCAUCGUAUCCUCACUCAUGCUUUUUCCCCUCAGGUGACCGCCACGGAAAAAGUCUGCAGCGCAGCCGUCCAGUUUCCGGUUGGAUAUUGACAUCAUGCAAAGUCACCGGACAAAUAGGAAAACUCAAGGUAUCUGAGGCCCGGACACACCUCCAUGACCAGCCGGCUGCCUCGGAGCUGGGGACUCCGUGCUUCCUGCCGUCAGCAGAUCCAGCCUCAGAAACAGACCAGUUUACAAUCAUCUCUGAAAACUGCCACAAAUGGGCGGCCUGUUCUAAGCCGGGUCACCCAGGAAGGACGGGGGUAAGAGGGACAUUUUGCUCCAGAAACAGAAUGUCCAAAAAGGCCCAGCCCAUUAUUUUCCCCAGAAACGUUUGGAGGAGAGUAAAAUCCCAACAUGAGCUUCGAAGGCCCCUGUGCCCAGGGGAUGGCGUUGCCUGCUGAGGAGGGGCAGCAGGGGACACGGGCAGUUUCUCCACAGGCCGCAGCGGGAAGCUGGGCAGGAGCCUGGCGGGCCCCGGGUUCUCUAAGAGGUUCUUCUAGAAACAGACCCCUCAGAUGCUUCCUCUCACUUCAGGUAAGAAGUUACUGUUAAGGCACUUGGGGAGUUUCCCUUCUUCAGAAAGGAGGCACAGAUAUGUGAGUCAUCAGUGCAGCCUUAGUGGGAGACCUGAAGGUGGGGGACCCCGUAGAAGUGGACAAAGGCUGCUGCCACCACCAUGACACUAAAUACCCAACGUGACUGGUUCCAUGUGUCAACUUAAUAGGACCGAGCGCUCUGUAACUGGAGCAGCCUGGAGGCCAGCUCUGGGCUGCACAGCCCAGCCAUGAGGAAGAGCCGGCCCAGCUGCCUGCGUGUGUCCUUGACACAGCCCCUGGCACCGUUCUGACGGCAACUGGCAGUGAGUCUCAAGGCUCGGAGCACAGGACUGGCCUGCAGGGAGCAGACACUCAUCCCAAGACCCCCUGCUGCUGAGUUCCAUCCGGAGGUUGUCAGAGAGCAGCUGCUGCCGUAGCCGGGCCUCAUCUGAGUGUGUGCCAGCUUCAUGCAGAGCACAAGGCAUGUCUGCAGGUGUCGGAGAGCAUUCCCCUAACCAGGAAUGGCCUUCAGCGUGGAAAAGACGGUCUUUAGUGAAAGAGACCUCUCCAGAGACCUCAGCCAGCCAUGCAAAGACUAUCGAGUUAUCCCAGGAUCCGAGAUCACAUCUGCAGACUUUGUAACAGCCAGAGUCAAUGGCUUAAGGAGACUUUCUGAUUUUCCCCACAUCUCGCUGGAAGCAUAGAGGUAAACCAUUGGUGCCCUGAAGCUCCUCAGGCAGCAUCGGGAGCCCUGGACAUAAGCUCAGCAGGCGAUAAAGUGAUGAGAGGGAGCAUGUUCGUGUGUGCUGUUUCAGAUUGCGUGUCAUCACCAAAGACGGGAACUGGAUGCAGGAACCCCGCUGGUUCCCACCGCAGUCCUCACGCCUCCGUCCAGGGACGCUAUAGCCCAGUGUCUAGCUCUUGCCUUGCUUGGCAGGGCCCAGGAAUCAAAACCGAGUUUUGUAACACUUAACCAUUGACUUCCUUUCCUUUUCAAGACUCCGUUGCUCACUAACUGUCUGAAUGUUAAUGCUCUCAGACAAUUGCUACUGCCCAGCCGCCACAGAUUAUUCGCCUGGUUUUUACUGAACAAAUGAUAGGCAAACAAAUACAUGUUCUUAUUA